UCCCGAAGCUGGGCGCUCGGUGGAAGAGGACGACCAUCCCCGAUAGAGGAGGACCGUUCUUCGGUCAAGGGUAUACGAGUAGCUGCGCUCCCCUGCUAGAACCUCCAAACAAGCUCUCAAAAAGAUCUAGGAAUGGUAGAUU
Molecule: small RNA, 142 nt
Filed under: Castor canadensis (American beaver)
Lineage: Eukaryota; Metazoa; Chordata; Mammalia; Rodentia; Castoridae
Description: 7SK RNA (ENSCCNG00000016333.1)
Rfam family: 7SK RNA
About the family: 7SK was discovered as an abundant small nuclear RNA in the mid-70s but a possible function has only recently been suggested.
Source: RNAcentral